GGGGGUAUGGUGGAAUGGUAGACACAACAGACUUAAAAUCUGUCGGCUUUACAUGUCGUGAGGGUUCAAGUCCCUCUACCCCCA
This 84-nucleotide transfer RNA is filed under the name uncultured prymnesiophyte C19847. RNAcentral describes it as "tRNA-Leu". It matches the Rfam family "tRNA". From Rfam's summary of the family: Transfer RNA (tRNA) molecules are approximately 80 nucleotides in length. Their secondary structure includes four short double-helical elements and three loops (D, anti-codon, and T loops). Further hydrogen bonds mediate the characteristic L-shaped molecular structure. tRNAs have two regions of fundamental functional importance: the anti-codon, which is responsible for specific mRNA codon recognition, and the 3' end, to which the tRNAs corresponding amino acid is attached (by aminoacyl-tRNA synthetases). tRNAs cope with the degeneracy of the genetic code in two manners: having more than one tRNA (with a specific anti-codon) for a particular amino acid; and 'wobble' base-pairing, i.e. permitting non-standard base-pairing at the 3rd anti-codon position. Lineage: Eukaryota; Haptophyta. The record is from RNAcentral.